UACGGGGGGGGCAAGCGUUGUUCGGAAUUACUGGGCGUAAAGGGCUCGUAGGCGGCCAACUAAGUCAGACGUGAAAUCCCUCGGCUUAACCGGGGAACUGCGUCUGAUACUGGAUGGCUUGAGUUCGGGAGAGGGAUGCGGAAUUCCAGGUGUAGCGGUGAAAUGCGUAGAUAUCUGGAGGAACACCGGUGGCGGAGGCGGCAUCCUGGACCGACACUGACGCUGAGGAGCGAAAGCCAGGGGAGCAAACGGG
This 253-nucleotide ribosomal RNA is filed under the name uncultured bacterium. Its description in RNAcentral is "partial 16S ribosomal RNA". It matches the Rfam family "Bacterial small subunit ribosomal RNA", at positions 524 to 776 of the family's 1533-position model. The record is from RNAcentral.